RNAcentral lists this ribosomal RNA (893 nucleotides) under Xerombrophila crystallifera. RNAcentral describes it as "partial large subunit ribosomal RNA". It matches the Rfam family "Eukaryotic large subunit ribosomal RNA", at positions 45 to 955 of the family's 3401-position model. The record is from RNAcentral. Lineage: Eukaryota; Fungi; Ascomycota; Leotiomycetes; Helotiales; Gelatinodiscaceae.
AAUAAGCGGAGGAAAAGAAACCAACAGGGAUUGCCUCAGUAACGGCGAGUGAAGCGGCAACAGCUCAAAUUUGAAAUCUGGCUCUUUCAGGGUCCGAGUUGUAAUUUGUAGAAGAUGCUUUGGGUGUGGCCCUGGUCUAAGUUCCUUGGAACAGGACGUCAUAGAGGGUGAGAAUCCCGUAUGUGACUGGGUGUCCACGCCCGUGUAAAGCUCUUUCGACGAGUCGAGUUGUUUGGGAAUGCAGCUCAAAAUGGGUGGUAAAUUUCAUCUAAAGCUAAAUAUUGGCCAGAGACCGAUAGCGCACAAGUAGAGUGAUCGAAAGAUGAAAAGCACUUUGGAAAGAGAGUUAAACAGUACGUGAAAUUGUUGAAAGGGAAGCGCUUGCAAUCAGACUUGCGCGCCGUUGAUCAUCCAGGGUUCUCUCUGGUGCACUCUGCGGCGCUCAGGCCAGCAUCGGUUCGGGUGGUGGGAUAAAGGCCUUGGGAAUGUGACUCCUCUCGGGGAGUGUUAUAGCCCUCGGUGCAAUGCCGCCUACCUGGACCGAGGACCGCGCUUCGGCUAGGAUGCUGGCGUAAUGGUUGUAAGCGACCCGUCUUGAAACACGGACCAAGGAGUCUAACAUCUAUGCGAGUGUUUGGGUGUCAAACCCAUGCGCGUAAUGAAAGUGAACGUUGGUAUGAACCCUUAAGGGUGCAAUAUCGACCGAUCCUGAUGUCUUCGGACGGAUUUGAGUAUGAGCAUAGCUGUUGGGACCCGAAAGAUGGUGAACUAUGCCUGAAUAGGGUGAAGCCAGAGGAAACUCUGGUGGAGGCUCGCAGCGGUUCUGACGUGCAAAUCGAUCGUCAAAUUUGGGUAUAGGGGCGAAAGACUAAUCGAACCAUCUAGUAGCUGGU